UACGGGGGGGGCAAGCGUUGUUCGGAUUUACUGGGCGUAAAGGGCGCGUAGGCGGCAUAUUAAGUCAUCUGUGAAAUCUCCGAGCUUAACUCGGAACUGUCAGCUGAUACUGAUGUGCUAGAGUGCGGAAGGGGCAAUCGGAAUUCUUGGUGUAGCGGUGAAAUGCGUAGAUAUCAAGAGGAACGCCUGAGGUGAAGACGGGUUGCUGGGCCGACACUGACGCUGAGUGCGCGAAAGCCAGGGGAGCAAACGGG
This 254-nucleotide ribosomal RNA is filed under the name uncultured bacterium. Its description in RNAcentral is "partial 16S ribosomal RNA". It matches the Rfam family "Bacterial small subunit ribosomal RNA", at positions 524 to 776 of the family's 1533-position model. The record is from RNAcentral.